Molecule: unclassified non-coding RNA, 288 nt
Filed under: uncultured fungus
Lineage: Eukaryota; Fungi
Description: partial contains small subunit ribosomal RNA, internal transcribed spacer 1, and 5.8S ribosomal RNA
Rfam family: Eukaryotic small subunit ribosomal RNA (bases 1-73)
Source: RNAcentral
GCAAACUUGGUCAUUUAGAGGAAGUAAAAGUCGUAACAAGGUUUCCGUAGGUGAACCUGCGGAAGGAUCAUUACAGAGUUCAUGCCCUUUUAGGGUAGACCUCCCACCCUUUGUUAUACAUACCUUUGUUGCUUUGGCGGGCCGCUUUUUAGCCACCGGCUUUUAGCUGGUGCGUGCCCGCCAGAGAACCCUUAAAUUCUGUAUUACAGUAUUGUCUGAGUAAACUUUUAAUAAGUUAAAACUUUCAACAACGGAUCUCUUGGUUCUGGCAUCGAUGAAGAACGCAGC